UACGGGGGGGGCAAGCGUUGUUCGGAAUUACUGGGCGUAAAGGGCUCGUAGGUGGCCAACUAAGUCAGACGUGAAAUCCCUCGGCUUAACCGGGGAACUGCGUCUGAUACUGGAUGGCUUGAGUUCGGGAGAGGGAUGCGGAAUUCCAGGUGUAGCGGUGAAAUGCGUAGAUAUCUGGAGGAACACCGGUGGCGAAGGCGGCAUCCUGGACCGACACUGACACUGAGGAGCGAAGCCAGGGGAGCAAACGGG
RNAcentral lists this ribosomal RNA (252 nucleotides) under uncultured bacterium. Its description in RNAcentral is "partial 16S ribosomal RNA". It matches the Rfam family "Bacterial small subunit ribosomal RNA", at positions 524 to 776 of the family's 1533-position model. The record is from RNAcentral.